GAGCUACUACGGCAGACGGGUAAUGUGGAAAGAUUACAGUAAAGGUUGUGGUAGUUGUGAAAUGCUAAUCGUAUUUUAAGGUAGCUGGUUUACCACUAAACCUAUGUGGUAGGUAAAAUGGCUUUUUGUGUCCUCUAUAAAGUAGGGGUGGCGAUUAGGUUAGCUUAGGGGCCCUAAGGGUGAAGCUUUGGGGUUAAGUUGGAUAAGAGAAGUACACAAUAGUUAGGAGUAGGGAUGAAAGUGCCCAGCUUUAAGUGGAGGUUGUUAUUAACCAUUUCGGUAGCGAGUAAAAUUUAUGUGUGGAAAUAUCCGAGAUGUGGUGGUAAAUGCCCUAAAAUUUUUGGUGGGGGUAAAUAUAAUGCUUGCAUGAGUAUUGAAAUUGGAUGUUAGUUUCGUGAAUAAUUAAAGGAAGGAGCAGUUGAUGAUUAAGUUUUAAUUAAAUGUAGUUAAGGAAUUCGGCAAACAUUAAUUCCGCCUGUUUAACAAAAACAUGUCUCCUUGUAGGAUAAAGAUUGGGAG
This 519-nucleotide ribosomal RNA is filed under the name Nautilus macromphalus (bellybutton nautilus). RNAcentral's name for it is "partial 16S ribosomal RNA". The record is from RNAcentral. Lineage: Eukaryota; Metazoa; Mollusca; Cephalopoda; Nautilida; Nautilidae.